UGCCAGCCGCCGCGGUAAUACGAAGGGUGCAAGCGUUGUUCGGAUUUAUUAGGCGUAAAGCGCGCGCAGGCGGAAAAUCAAGUCAGAUGUGAAAUCUAAGGGCUCAACCCUGAAACUGCGUCUGAAACUGGUUAUCUAGAAUCUCGGAGGGGGCAGGGGAAUUUCUCAUGUAGGGGUAAAAUCCGUAGAGAUGAGAAGGAACACCAGAGGCGAAGGCGCCUGCCUGGACGAGUAUUGACGCUGAGGCGCGAAAGCGUGGGGAACAAACAGGAUUAGAUA
RNAcentral lists this ribosomal RNA (279 nucleotides) under uncultured bacterium. RNAcentral's name for it is "partial 16S ribosomal RNA". It matches the Rfam family "Bacterial small subunit ribosomal RNA", at positions 506 to 784 of the family's 1533-position model. The record is from RNAcentral.